CAACCCCUCAGGCCCUGGUGCCUGGCGUCGGGGCGUUCCCUCGCGGGAAGCCCCCAGAGACAGUGGCGGACCAGUCGCGGCUCCGAGCGCAGUAGUAACAUUCUCGCUUAGGAGGUCUGCGGCGGGCUCCCGGCCGUAAAACCCAGACCCCUCACAGGGCUGACUUCUCAA
This 171-nucleotide unclassified non-coding RNA is filed under the name uncultured Halosphaeriaceae. RNAcentral's name for it is "sequence contains ITS2". The record is from RNAcentral. Lineage: Eukaryota; Fungi; Ascomycota; Sordariomycetes; Microascales; Halosphaeriaceae.